RNAcentral lists this ribosomal RNA (425 nucleotides) under uncultured bacterium. RNAcentral describes it as "partial 16S ribosomal RNA". It matches the Rfam family "Bacterial small subunit ribosomal RNA", at positions 354 to 796 of the family's 1533-position model. The record is from RNAcentral.
GUGGGGAAUUUUGCGCAAUGGGCGAAAGCCUGACGCAGCCAUGCCGCGUGAAUGAUGAAGGUCUUAGGAUUGUAAAAUUCUUUCACCGGGGACGAUAAUGACGGUACCCGGAGAAGAAGCCCUGGCUAACUUCGUGCCAGCAGCCGCGGUAAUACGAAGGGGGCUAGCGUUGCUCGGAAUUACUGGGCGUAAAGGGCGCGUAGGCGGACAGUUUAGUCAGAGGUGAAAGCCCAGGGCUCAACCUUGGAAUUGCCUUUGAUACUGGGUGUCUUGAGUAUGAGAGAGGUGUGUGGAACGCCGAGUGUAGAGGUGAAAUUCGUAGAUAUUCGGAAGAACACCAGUGGAGAAGGCGACACACUGGCUCAUUACUGACGCUGAGGCGCGAAAGCGUGGGGAGCAAACAGGAUUAGAUACCCUUGUAGUCC